GACGAACGCUGGCGGCGUGCUUAACACAUGCAAGUCGAACGGAAAGGCCCUGCUUUUGUGGGGUGCUCGAGUGGGGAACGGGUGAGUAACACGUGAGUAACCUGCCCUUGACUUUGGGAUAACUUCAGGAAACUGGGGCUAAUACCGGAUAGGAGCUCCUGCUGCAUGGUGGGGGUUGGAAAGUUUCGGCGGUUGGGGAUGGACUCGCGGCUUAUCAGCUUGUUGGUGGGGUAGGGGCUUACCAAGGCUUUGACGGGUAGCCGGCCUGAGAGGGUGACCGGCGACAUUGGGACUGAGAUAGGGCCCAGACUCGUACGGGAGGCAGUGGUGGGGAAUAUUGCACAAUGGGCGGAAGCCUGAUGCAGCAACGCCGGGUGCGGGAUGACGGCCUUCGGGUUAUAAACCGCUUUCGCCUGGGACGAAGCGUGAGUGACGGUAAUGGGUAAAGAAGCACCGGCUAACUACGUG
RNAcentral lists this ribosomal RNA (468 nucleotides) under uncultured bacterium. RNAcentral describes it as "partial 16S ribosomal RNA". It matches the Rfam family "Bacterial small subunit ribosomal RNA", at positions 28 to 507 of the family's 1533-position model. The record is from RNAcentral.